This 255-nucleotide ribosomal RNA is filed under the name uncultured bacterium. RNAcentral describes it as "partial 16S ribosomal RNA". It matches the Rfam family "Bacterial small subunit ribosomal RNA", at positions 524 to 776 of the family's 1533-position model. The record is from RNAcentral.
UACGAGGGGUGCAAGCGUUGCUCGGAAUUAUUGGGCGUAAAGGGUAGGUAGGUGGUCUCAUUUGUCUGAUGUGAAAUCCUUGGGCUUAACUCAAGAAGUGCGUCAGAAACGGUGAGACUCGAGUCUUGGAGAGGGUCGUGGAAUUCCCGGUGUAGCGGUGAAAUGCGUAGAGAUCGGGAGGAACACCAGAGGCGAAGGCGGCGACCGUGGACAAGUACUGGACACUCAACUACGAAAGCGUGGGGAGCAAACAGG